This 489-nucleotide ribosomal RNA is filed under the name uncultured bacterium. Its description in RNAcentral is "partial 16S ribosomal RNA". It matches the Rfam family "Bacterial small subunit ribosomal RNA", at positions 30 to 507 of the family's 1533-position model. The record is from RNAcentral.
AUUGAACGCUGGCGGCAGGCCUAACACAUGCAAGUCGAACGGUAACAGAAAGCAGCUUGCUGCUUUGCUGACGAGUGGCGGACGGGUGAGUAAUGUCUGGGAAACUGCCUGAUGGAGGGGGAUAACUACUGGAAACGGUAGCUAAUACCGCAUAACGUCGCAAGACCAAAGAGGGGACCUUCGGGCCUCUUGCCAUCGGAUGUGCCCAGAUGGGAUUAGCUAGUAGGUGGGGUAACGGCUCUCCUAGGCGACGAUCCCUAGCUGGUCUGAGAGGAUGACCAGCCACACUGGAACUGAGACACGGUCCAGACUCCUACGGGAGGCAGCAGUGGGGAAUAUUGCACAAUGGGCGCAAGCCUGAUGCAGCCAUGCCGCGUGUAUGAAGAAGGCCUUCGGGUUGUAAAGUACUUUCAGCGGGGAGGAAGGGAGUAAAGUUAAUACCUUUGCUCAUUGACGUUACCCGCAGAAGAAGCACCGGCCAACUCCGUG